This 305-nucleotide ribosomal RNA is filed under the name uncultured bacterium. Its description in RNAcentral is "bacterial SSU rRNA". It matches the Rfam family "Bacterial small subunit ribosomal RNA", at positions 338 to 638 of the family's 1533-position model. The record is from RNAcentral.
CCUACGGGGCGCAGCAGUGAGGAAUAUUGGUCAAUGGACGAGAGUCUGAACCAGCCAAGUAGCGUGAAGGAUGACUGCCCUAUGGGUUGUAAACUUCUUUUAUAUGGGAAUAAAACAGGGUAUGCAUACCCUCUUGUAUGUACCAUAUGAAUAAGGAUCGGCUAACUCCGUGCCAGCAGCCGCGGUAAUACGGAGGAUCCGAGCAUUAUCCGGAGUGACUGGGUGUAAAGAGUUGCGUAGGUGGCAUAAUAAGUAGCUAGUGAAAUCUGGUGGCUCAACCAUUCAGACUAUUAGCUAAACUGUUA